Molecule: ribosomal RNA, 631 nt
Filed under: Auriculibuller sp. BI111
Lineage: Eukaryota; Fungi; Basidiomycota; Tremellomycetes; Tremellales; Tremellaceae
Description: eukaryotic LSU rRNA
Rfam family: Eukaryotic large subunit ribosomal RNA
Source: RNAcentral
UCAUAAGCGGAGGAAAAGAAACUAACAAGGAUUCCCCUAGUAACGGCGAGUGAACCGGGAAGAGCUCAAAUUUGAAAUCUGGCGUGCUCAGUGCGUCCGAGUUGUAAUCUAUAGAGACGUUUUCCGUGCCGGACCGUGUCCAAGUCCCUUGGAACAGGGUAUCAAAGAGGGUGACAAUCCCGUACUUGACACGACGACCGGUGCUCUGUGAUACGUCUUCUACGAGUCGAGUUGUUUGGGAAUGCAGCUCAAAAUGGGUGGUGAGUUCCAUCUAAAGCUAAAUAUUGGCGAGAGACCGAUAGCGAACAAGUACCCGUGAGGGAAAGAUGAAAAGCACUUUGGAAAGAGAGUUAAACAGUACGUGAAAUUGUUGAAAGGGAAACGAUUGAAGUCAGUCGUGACCGAGAGGCUCAGCCGGUUCUGCCGGUCUAUUCCCCUCGGUCGGGUCAACAUCAGUUUUGUCCGGUGGAUAAGGGCAGCAGGAAGGUGGCACCCUCGGGUGUGUUAUAGCCUGUUGUCGCAUACAUCGGACGAGACUGAGGAAUGCAGCUCGCCUUUAUGGCCGGGGUUCGCCCACGUCCGAGCUUAGGAUGUUGACAUAAUGGCUUUAAACGACCCGUCUUGAAAACAC